Molecule: ribosomal RNA, 1377 nt
Filed under: Chryseobacterium sp. enrichment culture clone lzh-1
Lineage: Bacteria; Pseudomonadati; Bacteroidota; Flavobacteriia; Flavobacteriales; Weeksellaceae
Description: bacterial SSU rRNA
Rfam family: Bacterial small subunit ribosomal RNA
Source: RNAcentral
UGCAAGCCGAGCGGUAGAGAUCUUUCGGGAUCUUGAGAGCGGCGUACGGGUGCGGAACACGUGUGCAACCUGCCUUUAUCUGGGGGAUAGCCUUUCGAAAGGAAGAUUAAUACCCCAUAAUAUACUGAAUGGCAUCAUUCGGUAUUGAAAACUCCGGUGGAUAGAGAUGGGCACGCGCAAGAUUAGAUAGUUGGUGAGGUAACGGCUCACCAAGUCUGCGAUCUUUAGGGGGCCUGAGAGGGUGAUCCCCCACACUGGUACUGAGACACGGACCAGACUCCUACGGGAGGCAGCAGUGAGGAAUAUUGGACAAUGGGUGAGAGCCUGAUCCAGCCAUCCCGCGUGAAGGACGACGGCCCUAUGGGUUGUAAACUUCUUUUGUAUAGGGAUAAACCUACCCUCGUGAGGGUAGCUGAAGGUACUAUACGAAUAAGCACCGGCUAACUCCGUGCCAGCAGCCGCGGUAAUACGGAGGGUGCAAGCGUUAUCCGGAUUUAUUGGGUUUAAAGGGUCCGUAGGCGGAUCUGUAAGUCAGUGGUGAAAUCUCACAGCUUAACUGUGAAACUGCCAUUGAUACUGCAGGUCUUGAGUGUUGUUGAAGUAGCUGGAAUAAGUAGUGUAGCGGUGAAAUGCAUAGAUAUUACUUAGAACACCAAUUGCGAAGGCAGGUUACUAAGCAACAACUGACGCUGAUGGACGAAAGCGUGGGGAGCGAACAGGAUUAGAUACCCUGGUAGUCCACGCCGUAAACGAUGCUAACUCGUUUUUGGAAUGUAAGUUUCAGAGACUAAGCGAAAGUGAUAAGUUAGCCACCUGGGGAGUACGAACGCAAGUUUGAAACUCAAAGGAAUUGACGGGGGCCCGCACAAGCGGUGGAUUAUGUGGUUUAAUUCGAUGAUACGCGAGGAACCUUACCAAGGCUUAAAUGGGAAAUGACAGGUUUAGAAAUAGACUUUUCUUCGGACAUUUUUCAAGGUGCUGCAUGGUUGUCGUCAGCUCGUGCCGUGAGGUGUUAGGUUAAGUCCUGCAACGAGCGCAACCCCUGUCACUAGUUGCCAUCAUUAAGUUGGGGACUCUAGUGAGACUGCCUACGCAAGUAGAGAGGAAGGUGGGGAUGACGUCAAAUCAUCACGGCCCUUACGCCUUGGGCCACACACGUAAUACAAUGGCCGGUACAGAGGGCAGCUACACUGCGAAGUGAUGCAAAUCUCGAAAGCCGGUCUCAGUUCGGAUUGGAGUCUGCAACUCGACUCUAUGAAGCUGGAAUCGCUAGUAAUCGCGCAUCAGCCAUGGCGCGGUGAAUACGUUCCCGGGCCUUGUACACACCGCCCGUCAAGCCAUGGAAGUCUGGGGUACCUGAAGUCGGUGACCGUAACA